AAACUGUUUCCCCGAGCAUGCAGGAUAGAGGGCUUGUCACAUACCAUAAUCAUCAAUACAUUCAAAAUCAUGCAUCUGGGCUGGCCACAGCAAGUGUUGGCAGGGGCACAUCACUUCUGCUUUGAUUUUAAUUUUACCCCCACUUAGGAAAAAAACCCAAAAACUACAAAUAACUUUAGGACUGUUGACAUGACUUUAGAGUUGAUGAGAAAUACCCAGGACACUUCUGACAAAUAAAUCUCCCAUGAGACAGUAGUGUAGCACUUCUCUGCAUGCAGGUACUCUUAUCUGAGCACUGAAGUCAACCAGAAAUGAAGACCCCUAUUGUCUGAGCCCUGUGCAAUUCGUGACCUGGGGGAUAAGGCAAGAGGUACUGUCAUUAUUCAGCUUCCUCACCAUUUUCCUCACCAAUUCAGUGCAGAAAGUUUCUUCUCCCAGUUGUAAGGUUAAGCAGGACCUCCCAAUAACUCUCUGGAUGGACCAAACGUGAUGAAAGGCUCGUGGGUCCCACCAGCACAAUGUGCAUCACUAUUCUACCACUUCAGAAACAGCCAGCCCUCAUCAUUUCCAGAGAGGAAACACAGCUGCAUUUCAGAUCCACAUAGGGCAAAAACAAGGGGAAUGAUGAGAGGCACCUACAAUAAGAAGACAGAAAAGCAAGUUGUGGGACACUGUUAUGACUCCACCACGCACUAAGUCCUCCUCCCUUUUCCCCUGACCCAGAGUAGGAUCCCUUGGGCUUUAGGAAAACCCCAGCACCAGGAAAGGUUAGGAACAAGGCCUACUCAUGGCCAAGUCAGGAAAAGGUUUUUGCAGGAAUAAGCUGAGGCACAACAUCAGUGCCCUCAUGGACAGUUUGUAGCUGUGACAUGGUGUAGGCGUGGAAGGGAGAAGCUCUCCAGCCACACCUCAAUGCUCCCCACAGUGAAAGGAAUGCCAAAUCAUCCUCCAAGGAAGGACAGAGCACAGCGCUGCCUCCACACCUUCAUCUCCAGGUACCUGGAGCUAUGUAGUGCUAAGAUAGGGGCCCUGGGGUACUCCAUGUUGUUUGGAGUAUUGAGGUCAUGGAAAGUUAUCUCUUCUUCCCUAUUAGUUGCCUUUGCUGCUGCUCCUUCUCUCCAUCUGCACAUUUCCAUCACUUCAUCUCCUUCUCUUUCCCUCUUGCAAUUUGCCUCUUUCCCUGUAAUUUAUCCUCUGCAGUGUAAGCCUUUGGCUGGCCUGUCAGUGUCGUGGUUCCUGGAGAGGGCAUCCAGCCACACUCCAGCACAGAAGCCCAGCGAGUUGUUAGAUCCACACUCACCUACAGCUGUGCACCUGCAGCACUGCCAGCGCUGUCUCCCUGUCCCACUGCUGAAAUGAAAACAGAACCUGCUCCACGUGAAAGCCAGAGGCUGCUUACAGCAAUCCUGCAGGAUUGAUAACAAAGACCACCUCCAGCACCCGCUGAGGGGCAAUUUACCUGCACAGGUUCUCCUACUCUCACAAGUAAGCAACAGGCACAUCAAGCAGAGAGCAAUCUGUCACUGACAGGCAACAUUGGACUAAGGAGCUUGGGGGGAAAAACACAGGAGACAGAAUUAAAACAACUGUAAGUAAAUAAACCUUCAACAUCAAAAUGACAUGCAUCAAACAGGACCAAUGGACCAAUCUGAUUUUAUUUAAUUGGGACUAGCCUUUCCCAAAGACAUGGGCUGAUAGGUAGAUAAUUCUGUUUGCUUACUCAAAGUCCAGUUGUAUUCCACUGGUAUUAACUAUUUAUUUAAUUUCUCUCUGCAUAAAUGAUGGGACAUACUAGCACAAAACAGUGACACUUAAAAGCUAUAUCCGUUAACCAAUGUUUUGCAUGGAGAGUAAAAAUACUACCAUGGAUCUUGCAUUAUUAUAUAACAUAGGAAAUAGAGAGGAAAUGGCCUUUUCAAUUCUCCAAAGCAUGCAAUUUGACAAUUCUCAGCAGUCUUAUCUUGUGCAGAGAUUAGAACUAGGAAAAUAAAUUAAAGCAGUGUAAUCAAUGAAUGCAUUCCUUUUUCCUGUCUGAGAAGAGGGGAGGGGGGCUGGGGUAACAUCAGGCAGUCAGGUUAAUUAAUGCGUUCACAGGCCAGAAUUACUAAAUGAGUAUUUGUGCACACACACAUGCACUGUGCUAUUGAUUACUCAUAACCUUAUUUGCAAAGAAAACUCCUCUGAAUAGUUUGUAGUUCUGAUUAGACAUUGGGACUGUGAGGCUGUCUGUAGGGAGUGCAAUUAAAAAUACCUGUACCAGCCUAACUUACCAAGUUUAUUGAUUUAACUGCACCAGCAUAAAAAUCUCUUGGCUGCAGGAUAUUGCAUUGCAUUACAGGUUAGAGCUUUUAUCAUUACACCAGGUUAGCUGAACACAGGCAACAUUGUUCUACCUGUGAUCUGCCUGAAUGACCCAGCUCCAAGGGUGACUUGAGAGCCCAGCAAAAAACAACAGAAGAUUGGUCUCAGCUACAAGAUCAAAUAUUCCAGUCAAAAAUCAUUUUUAAGUGCAAAUAUUAAGCCAAAAAUAAGGUCAUAGAAAGCAUAUCUAGAUCAGAUACUCAAGGCUUAACAUUUUCUGCACUGCUCCGGGCUCCCUCAGGGUCAGAAUCUGAGGGAUUUUCUCAUCAGGACA
Long non-coding RNA from Taeniopygia guttata (zebra finch), 2635 nucleotides. Lineage: Eukaryota; Metazoa; Chordata; Aves; Passeriformes; Estrildidae. The record is from Ensembl.